RNAcentral lists this ribosomal RNA (116 nucleotides) under Escherichia coli. Lineage: Bacteria; Pseudomonadati; Pseudomonadota; Gammaproteobacteria; Enterobacterales; Enterobacteriaceae. The record is from RNAcentral.
CCUGGCGGCCAUAGCGCGGUGGUCCCACCUGACCCCAUGCCGAACUCAGAAGUGAAACGCCGUAGCGCCGAUGGUAGUGUGGGGUUUCCCCAUGCGAGAGUAGGGAACUGCCAGGC